GACGAACGCUGGCGGCGUGCCUAAUACAUGCAAGUUGAGCGCUGAAGGCUGGUACUUGUACCAACUGGAUGAGCAGCGAACGGGUGAGUAACGCGUGGGGAAUCUGCCUUUGAGCGGGGGACAACAUUUGGAAACGAAUGCUAAUACCGCAUAAAAACUUUAAACACAAGUUUUAAGUUUGAAAGAUGCAAUUGCAUCACUCAAAGAUGAUCCCGCGUUGUAUUAGCUAGUUGGUGAGGUAAAGGCUCACCAAGGCGAUGAUACAUAGCCGACCUGGGAGGGUGAUCGGCCCACUUGGGAACGGGACCACGCCCAAAACCCUUCGGGAGGCAGCAGUAGGGAAUCUUCGGCAAUGGACGAAAGUCUGACCGAGCAACGCCGGGUGAGUGAAGAAGGUUUUCGGAUCGGAAAACUCUGUUGGUAGAGAAGAACGUUCGUGAGAGUGGAAAGCUCAUCAAGUGACGGUAACUACCCAGAAAGGGACGGCUAACUACGUG
This 497-nucleotide ribosomal RNA is filed under the name uncultured bacterium. RNAcentral describes it as "partial 16S ribosomal RNA". It matches the Rfam family "Bacterial small subunit ribosomal RNA", at positions 28 to 507 of the family's 1533-position model. The record is from RNAcentral.